Molecule: long non-coding RNA, 664 nt
Organism: Meriones unguiculatus (Mongolian gerbil)
Lineage: Eukaryota; Metazoa; Chordata; Mammalia; Rodentia; Muridae
Exons: 3
Source: RefSeq, a predicted model, not a curated record
UGCCCAGUGUGAUGCUCUCACACUGUCCCAGUGUACUGAUUGAGAUUUAGAUUAUUUUUGUUGUUUCUGAAGAUCUGUCUCUAUAAUUUUUAAUCAUGUGUACCAGCACAUUUCCUUGCAGGGCUGUGGACAAGUGAGUGCAAGUACCAGAGUUGGUCAGAGUCACUGGACCCCUGGAUCUGGGCCACAGGCAGUUGUGAGCUGCCUGACAUGCACACUGUCAACCACCUCAGGUUUUCUGCAAGAGCAGUUACAAAUCUCCUCUGAUUACCCUAUGAACAAGAGGAUGAACCAUGAUUAUGAUCAAAAUGUGUCUUGAUCUCCUUGUGACCUAAGUAUGUCUCCCUGCUCUGGCUGCCCGUUGCCAUGACUCUCUCACCAUUUAUGGGCUCUCCGCCGGAAGCUGAAGGCAGCAUAAACUGGGUGUGUGUUGUUGACAUGAGAGCAGCUAUGCCAAAGACCCCACACCCUCAGCUAUGUCCCAGGGAGUGACAAUCUAUACCUCCUCCCAAUGAGACUCUGAAGAAUGCAAAGCUUUCCUUUUCCCUGAUUGAGAAUGCUGGCAGUGUGUGCAAAAACCAGCAACUGCAGCUUUCUCCUCCUGGAAGACUGCAGCCUGAGGCCACUUCCCCACAGACAUACCUGGACUAGGCAGCCUCUCCCA